RNA transcript from Mastomys coucha (southern multimammate mouse), 647 nucleotides. It is a transcript of the gene named nucleoplasmin-3 pseudogene, with no coding region annotated. The record is from RefSeq and is a predicted model, not a curated record. The transcript has a single exon. NCBI's taxonomy places the organism in Eukaryota, Metazoa, Chordata, Mammalia, Rodentia, Muridae.
CAUGGUGGCCGGCGCAGCGGCCGCUUUGGCGUUCCUGCACCAGGAGAGCCGAGCCCGGGCUGCGGGCGUCGAGGGCCUCAGGGUCCCGGCUUCCGUCAUGAUGGAUAGUUUCUUCUUCUUCGGUUGUGAGCUCUCCGGCCACACCCGCUCCUUUACUAUCAAGGUUGAGGAAGAGGAUGAUAUGGAACACGUGCUGGCUUUGAACACACUGUGCCUUACCCAAGGGGCCAAGGACCAGUGUAACGUGGUGGAAGUCGUGGCCGGGGAUCACGACCAUUGGGAGAUUGCAGUUCCUGUGGCCAACCUCAGGUUAUCUUGCCAGCCCAUGCUCAGUCUAGAUGAUUUCCAGCUCCAACCACCGGUAACCUUCCGCCUGAAGUCCGGUUCUGGUCCUGUUCGGAUUUCUGGUCGGCAUCAGAUCGUUUGUAUAAACAACGAUCUUUCUGAAGAAGAAAGUGAGGAUGAAAGCGAAGAAGAAAUUAAGCUGUGUGGCAUCCUUCCUGCCAAAAAGCAUAGGGCCAGGCCCUAGCCCUCUGGUCGGGUGGCUGCUUGCUACGGGUGCCAUGCUCCAUAUGUUCCUGGACAAGUUCAAGAAUGGUUUUCUUGCUGAAGAGAAUAGGGGGCGGGAGGGAAGGGCUUGGGCUGGU